GGAGGCGUGUCCGAACUGGCUAAGGAGCCGGUCUUGAAAAUCGGUGGGUCGAGAGGCCCAUGUGGGUUCGAGUCCCACCGCCUCCGCCA
This 89-nucleotide transfer RNA is filed under the name Thermotogota bacterium. RNAcentral describes it as "Thermotogae bacterium tRNA-Ser". It matches the Rfam family "tRNA". Rfam says of the family: Transfer RNA (tRNA) molecules are approximately 80 nucleotides in length. Their secondary structure includes four short double-helical elements and three loops (D, anti-codon, and T loops). Lineage: Bacteria; Thermotogati; Thermotogota. RNAcentral also lists the same sequence under 2 other names. The record is from RNAcentral.